GGGGGGCGCCGCUGGGCGGGAGGGUCCGGCAACUCCCUGAAGUGGCGGCACCGCGGAGCGUGGGCGCCGAGAAGGGCGAUUUAAACCUUGCGGGGCUGUGCAGGGGCUCGGCGGCCGGACGCCAGCAGCUAUCAGAAGUGGGGCAGAUCACGAGACUGGCUACACUGCGAACCAUGGCACUGCCAUUCCGGAAGGACUUGGGGGAGUAUAAGGACUUGGAUGAAGAUGAGCUCCUUGGCAAUCUAUCAGAAGCAGAGCUGAAACAGCUCGAAACUGUCCUGGAUGAUCUCGACCCCGAGAAUGCCCUUCUGCCUGCAGGGUUUCGGCAGAAGAACCAGACCUCAAAGUCCGCCACGGGACCCUUUGAUAGAGAGCGUCUCCUUUCUUAUCUAGAGAAGGAGGCACUGGAGCAUAAAGACCGGGAAGACUAUGUGCCCUACACCGGAGAGAAAAAAGGGAAAAUUUUUAUCCCCAAACAGAAACCUGUGCAGUCUUUUACAGAAGACAACAUAUCCCUUGAUCCAGAAUUAGAAGAAGCUUUGACAAGUGCCUCUGAUACAGAAUUGUGUGACCUUGCAGCUAUUCUUGGAAUGCACAAUCUGAUCACAAACUCACAGUUCUGUGAUGUGGUGGGGAGCAGUAAUGGCGUCGACCAAGAACAUUUUUCAAAUGUGGUAAAAGGUGAAAAGAUUCUUCCAGUGUUUGAUGAGCCUCCAAAUCCAACCAACGUUGAAGAGAGUUUAAAGAGAAUUAAGGAAAAUGAUUCCCGUCUUGUUGAAGUUAAUUUGAAUAAUAUAAAAAAUAUCCCAAUUCCAACUCUAAAAGAUUUUGCUAAGACUUUGGAAACCAACACACAUGUGAAACAUUUCAGUCUUGCAGCCACCAGGAGCAAUGACCCCGUGGCUGUGGCGUUUGCAGAUAUGCUGAAAGUGAACCGAACUUUGAAGAGUUUAAAUAUGGAGUCCAACUUCAUCACAGGCACUGGGGUUUUGGCACUGAUUGAUGCUUUGAGAGACAAUGAGACCCUGACAGAGCUCAAGAUUGACAAUCAGAGACAGCAGUUGGGCACAGCUGUAGAAUUAGAAAUGGCCAAGAUGCUUGAAGAAAAUACGAAUAUCCUUAAAUUUGGGUAUCAGUUCACGCAGCAAGGACCCCGAACCAGGGCAGCCAAUGCUAUAACGAAAAACAACGACUUAGCUGUCCAUUGAAAUACUUCUGCCUACUCGCCAUCUCUCCAGCUAAGAAGUGUCCCAGCUCUAACAGAAAAGAGUGCGCAAGAGGCGAGUGGAAGGAGACCACCAGUAAGAGUGCCACGGUAACCUUUGGAAGCCUGCAGAUCACCAGAGGCUCCUGUUGGUGACAGCAGAUGUAAAAAUGUCCUGGGUAGAAGGGAAAAGACUGGAAAUCUUUUUUUAGCCAUAUGCAUUAUUUUCCUAGCUUAAAGUAUUAUGUUUGAUUUGUAAAAUCAGUAAUUAGUAUUUUAUACUUGUAGCCUUUCUACUGAAAUCAUUUUAAUUUAGCUUAAUUGAAUGGUUUAUAAUUUUUAGAUAAAAGUGCAGUUAUAGAAAGUUUCAGAAGUCAUAUAUGUAAGGAUAAUUUGAACACCUUGAGGACCAAUCUUUUUUAAAUCAAAAAGGGACAUUGCUGACCGACCCACUGCUAAUGUUGCUUCUUGUACAUAAAGGAUAGGACAUGGCGGUUUCCUUUUUUAAAAAUCCAUGAAUUUGGGGCCAGGCGGUGGUGGUGCACACCUUUAAUCCCAGCACUCAGGAGGCAGAGCUAGGCGGAUCUCUGUGAGUUUGAGGCCAGCCUGGGCUACAGAGUGAGAUCCAGGUCAGGCACCAAAACUACAGAGAAACCUUGUCUCGAAAAACAAAACAAAACAAAACAAAAUCCAUGAAUUUGGCAAGAGUUUGCUUUUUCCUUAUUAGGGAAAUAAAAUUUCAGAAUUUUAAAAGAUGACUCAGAAUCUGAUAUAUCUACAUAAUCCAAAGCAGGCCUCCAGGAGAUGACCGGUCCUCUUCUGGGGGACAGAACAGCCCCCUGCGUUGCAGGUUUCUAUACUUGUUCAAGGGACCUCAGCUACACUGGGGUUGGUUUUUUGUUUUUUUUGUGUGUUUGUUUGUUUGUUAAUAGUCCUUAAUUCUGCCCCACUGCCUACCUUGUUUGAAAGUAUAGUUAUAGCUAAGGUUACUACAGUAUUUCAUCUUGCUGUGGGCAUUAAAUUUUUGUAAAAGCUAGUGGUUAAAAAAGCAUCCAAGUAGAGAGGUCAUUUCCUUCUCCAUAAAAGGCUCUUGGCCAAUACUCAGUUAGAGUAAAAGAAAAAAAAGAAAGGUGCUUUAGAUACAGGAGGGAAUCCAAGCCCAAAAGCUCACAGGAUGGCAAUUAAGUUAAUGAGCACUGUCAGUCAGAAACUAAAACGUGAGCUGGCUCUGAUGGCUCGCUCCUAGAAUCCUAGCCCCUGGGAAGCUGAGAAAGGAAUGUUUCCAGAUGUUCAAAGCCAGGCUGGACUACAUAGGAAAUUCCAGGUUAGCCUGUGAAUGUGAGAACCUGUGUCAAGAAAAGAAAGAUCUGUACCGUGUGGUAAGACACUAGACCCUUCCUGUGUGACUGCACAGGUGCAAUGCAGCAUUUCAUGAACAGUUAACCCCCACUCCACAGUGGACCAGCCACACAAAAACUGCUACUUUCAGAAACCCAGCCUUAGUAGGUGCUGCCUUUCUUCUUGUACUUUUAAAAAGCCAUAUGGUAAAGAAAGAGAGAGAAAAAAGUUGUAUAGCGUAGGUUAUCUUUCUCACCCAGGCGUUAGAGUGAGGACUUGAGCAGCAUACCUCAGAGUGGGGUUGGGCGAGGCUGCACACUGACGCCCUUCUGAGGAUUUGGGUUUGUGUCUGUGCCCUGUCCCGGGGCAGCUCCUACAGGAGUAGCAGAGGCAAUCACAGCCACAGACAACAGAGAGGAACAGGUCCAGGGAAGUAUGAACAAGUUGACUUGUUUAUACAUUCCACUUCUGUUCCGUAAUGCAUUGUGUAUCUGAAGAAAAUACUUCUUUAUAAGUAACUUAAGUGUGGACUCAUCUGAUGGAAUAGGGAGGCAGAAGCAGGUGGAUCUCUGAGUUUCAGGACUGCUAUUACACAGAGGAAUUCUGUCUUGAAAAAUAAACAAAAAAAAGAAUUAUAAUGGAGAACAGUGUUUACCUUCAUCUUUAAAAGUGUGGCACCUCUUGACUUUUUAGUAACUCAGUAUUUUCAAAUUCCUCUGAGACUUUUAUGACAUAGUAAUAAAUUAGGACUUUGCAACAGUUUUCAUUUUAAGCCAGAGAUUUUCUAAACCCUCGGGUUUUAUGUCAGGUUAAAUGGUUUAUUCUUAGAUAAAAAUAACAUUCACAUUUUUAAAUUGCUCUUUUAAAAAGCUUUAAAUUGCCCAUUUUAUAAAACUGUGUAUUCAUAUUUGUCUUGUUAUAAUUUUCAGUAUGUCCACAUGAAAUUGUAUACGUUAAAUUCAAUGUUAGUGGCUAAUAUUAAUACCUUGAAAGUAGAUUUUGGUGCUAUACAUUUAUAGCUAAAACCUACUGGAGUUUAAAGAAUAAGUAAAAUACAUUUUCUAAAGGUGCCUGUCAUUUCAAAGACCAAAUAAACAUUUUGUGUUAAAAGUAUUAGCAGACUGUUGGUGAUUUUGAGGAGAGUGUCCGUGACCAUUAAGUUGUACAUUAUCCACUAAUCAAAUUAGCCACACACUUUAUACAAGGGGGCACUCCUGAAAAGUUAUGUAAAAGAUAUGUAAAUAGAACUUUAAAAUUUGUUUUCCAACCGAUAAUCCCUUCAUGUGUUUUCCUUUAAAGGCGAUAUAAUAAAAUUAUAACAGAAAAAUGUCUCAAUAAAGUAUUAGUUGUAUGCUA
This is a non-coding RNA of Peromyscus maniculatus bairdii (prairie deer mouse), 3898 nucleotides long. The record is from RefSeq and is a predicted model, not a curated record. NCBI's taxonomy places the organism in Eukaryota, Metazoa, Chordata, Mammalia, Rodentia, Cricetidae.